UCUUUUAUUCUUGUUAAUUACCGUAUCUCGGUGCUACGUUAUUAUUCCGCUUUUAUUACUGUGAAUAUUAUUUUUGUAGGGGGUUUAUUCCCAACAAGUUUUAUGGUAGCUAACAAUGGAGGCUCAAAAAAGACCAGAAUAGAUGCGACACUAUUAGGCAACCUAAUAAAGGUUACAAUUUUAAACGAAAACGUUUUGGCUAAGAAAUAGGGUGGGUUCGAACAGUUUAUUGGAAAAUAUUCUUAAAAAAGUAUUCCAAAAAAUAAUUUGUAUUUUUAAUGAUAUAUUGUUAGAAUUUUUUAGAAAUAAUUUUGUUCAAAAUGGAUGCUAUUCAAACCCAGAGAAGUAUAAUUGGCGAAUGGCGAUAGAGUUAUUCAUUCAACAAUUCAAACCUCCACAGUUUUUAUUCCAACUACAUUAUGUCAAUAAAAAGUUAUUGCCAAACAAAAUGAAAUAAAUUAAUACUAGUCGUGAGUUUGUAACAUAGAAUAAUAUGAAAAGUAACAAUAAAAGAGAAAUACUAUUAUAUUGUGGGAGUGACAGGCUGCUCGUUGAAGGUCUUCGUUGUUCAUUUUGGAUUUUUCUUUUCUCUUAAAAAAUAACAUGGAGAUCUUCUAUUUCUAGCCAUGGGACUUUCAUCCCCGUGAAUAAAUGAGUUUGUACGUCCAGUUUCUAUUCAAUGGUCUUUUUUAUCUUAGUUAGGAGUCUACUUUGCUAUCCAGAUAUUACAAAUACACAGUAAUGGAGGUAUGAAAAAUUAAGCAGAAGACAUAUAAAUGAGGUUUUUUCGAAAAAUAAGAAAAUGUUAAUACACACGUGGCAAUUUAAUAGUUGGGGUUCACUGCCACAUUGGAGCACAGUUAAAAGUAGGGGGUAAAUUUGAAUACUUUACCAACGGUCCUUUCAUAAAGAAUAAAAUACUACCAUAAGAUGGUCUCGUGAAUUGGAGGUGACCUGUUUCAAAGACCCGUGCUGCUGUCGCCGGGCGGCGCUGACUCCGAUCAUCCUGGAGGAAUGGAACCGUACUAUCAGUGUAUUUUGGCUCAGCACAUCUCAUCGCCCCAGCCCCCAGGUGCUCGCUUUAUUGCGCCACAGAUUUCUGCACGCCACCACUCACCAGAACCAUAAACCAGCAAAGUGGAAGAGGAGCACCAUUCCAUUUCUUCAAGCAAUUAAGCAAUGGAUCUACCAACUUCCCUUCAUUCAUAGCUGUGAAUACCUUGUCAAAUUCUUCUCCAGGAAUUGCUGGCUUCCCAUUCUCCAAGUUACAUCUAGCACUCUCAAUUUCCUUAGGCAAAACAAUCUUCAAUUCUUCCUCAAAUGCACUGAUUUUAUGGAAAAUUGAAGUGCUAGAAU
Nicotiana tabacum (common tobacco) is the source of this 1356-nucleotide non-coding RNA. The record is from RefSeq and is a predicted model, not a curated record. NCBI's taxonomy places the organism in Eukaryota, Viridiplantae, Streptophyta, Magnoliopsida, Solanales, Solanaceae.